CACCGCGAUGGUGGCUGGUUGAUCUCCGUGAGUUUCAGGCAUUUGCUCAGGUGUUUUCAUUUCAUAAUAUAACUACUACUACUUUAAUGAUGGGUAAGAGAUUAGGUGGUUGUACUGUACAAAAUAUUCAUGUGUUUUACUUGCCGUCAAGUUUCCCUUAAAUUAAUGCCUAAUUGCAUUUGUUGGGGUUAUGUACUAAUGCCUUGAAAGGACUGUGUAAUAUUCCGGAAUAUUGUGUUCAUUUUCAUAAGUAAAAUUUGUUUGGGUGAAGUUGAUUUUCACAUAUAUUUGAGAUUUGUUUAGACAAUCCUUGAUGAACUUGGUUGUUUAGCAUAGUUCGGCUUUCACAAAUCACAAUGUUUAGAAUCUUUUUAUACGCAUGGGGCUUAUAUGAUGAAGCUUCACUGCUCCACUACUAUUUGACAUACAAUAUGUUUAGAAUGUUUUUUAUAAUUGAGCUUUCACAAUGUUUAGAAUCUUUUAUUCUUAUAAUGUAUGUUUUAUGCCACGUACUCAUAGUUUUUACCAUCAGUUGCUUAUGAUCAUUCAGUUCAUUAACGAACUUUUAGGUGGUUGUGCUUGAUCGGUGGUGUUCUCAUGCCUUCUGUUUUGUGGCUGUAGGAUAUCAAGAGGAGGGAAGAGGCGCUGAAGAAUGGUGCAGAUCCACAUUUGUUUUUGCAUAAUUGCUGCCAUAGCUCCACCAAUUGUAUUUCAUGGGAAAUCAUUAACAUAGCCAGUGAUGUUGUCUGCUGGAAAAGGAGAAAUCAAUGAAUUAUAGAUUGGGAUCACAGAACUUCAGAGAGGAAACUAGGUUGAUUGUUCAAUAUUUUUUAAGAAUACUUAGUAUCCUGGAUAAUAUGUGAAACAAACAAUAUG
This is a long non-coding RNA of Zea mays, 876 nucleotides long. RefSeq lists it as uncharacterized. NCBI's taxonomy places the organism in Eukaryota, Viridiplantae, Streptophyta, Magnoliopsida, Poales, Poaceae. The transcript has 2 exons. The record is from RefSeq and is a predicted model, not a curated record.